UGGGGAAUAUUGCACAAUGGGCGAAAGCCUGAUGCAGCGACGCCGCGUGCGGGAUGAAGGCCUUCGGGUUGUAAACCGCUUUUAAUUGGGAGCAAGCGAGAGUGAGUGUACCUUUUGAAUAAGCACCGGCUAACUACGUGCCAGCAGCCGCGGUAAUACGUAGGGUGCAAGCGUUAUCCGGAAUUAUUGGGCGUAAAGAGCUCGUAGGCGGUUUGUCACGCCUGGUGUGAAAGUCCAUCGCUUAACGGUGGAUCUGCGCCGGGUACGGGCAGGCUAGAGUGCAGUAGGGGAGAUUGGAAUUCCCGGUGUAACGGUGGAAUGUGUAGAUAUCGGGAAGAACACCAAUGGCGAAGGCAGAUCUCUGGGCUGUUACUGACGCUGAGGAGCGAAAGCAUGGGGAGCGAACAGGAUUAGAUACCCGUGGUAGUCCAUGCCGUAAACGGUGGAUGCUGGAUGUGGGACC
This 463-nucleotide ribosomal RNA is filed under the name uncultured bacterium. RNAcentral's name for it is "partial 16S ribosomal RNA". It matches the Rfam family "Bacterial small subunit ribosomal RNA", at positions 355 to 829 of the family's 1533-position model. The record is from RNAcentral.